RNAcentral lists this non-coding RNA (122 nucleotides) under Rubeoparvulum massiliense. RNAcentral's name for it is "ylbH leader". It matches the Rfam family "ylbH leader". Rfam says of the family: This family is a putative regulatory RNA structure that is found upstream of the ylbH gene in B. subtilis and related low GC Gram-positive bacteria. The record is from RNAcentral. Lineage: Bacteria; Bacillati; Bacillota; Bacilli; Caryophanales; Bacillaceae.
AAAAAAAUCCCAUAGGGCAGAUCCCUAUGGGUACUUAAUGCAAAGCAUUAAGUAUAAUGGAAAAUAAUGGGAGAGGAGAAACCGGAGGAAGAGCUUAUGGGGAAACGUAAGUCUUCUCCGCG